RNAcentral lists this microRNA (22 nucleotides) under Bombyx mori (domestic silkworm). RNAcentral's name for it is "bmo-miR-2860". Lineage: Eukaryota; Metazoa; Arthropoda; Insecta; Lepidoptera; Bombycidae. The record is from miRBase by way of RNAcentral.
CGCUGUAUGAUUGUCCGAGGUA